RNAcentral lists this small RNA (3815 nucleotides) under Pongo abelii (Sumatran orangutan). RNAcentral describes it as "retained intron". The record is from RNAcentral. Lineage: Eukaryota; Metazoa; Chordata; Mammalia; Primates; Hominidae.
AAAAACAAGGUUAGCCUGCAGCACAGCCGCAGCAGCAGCAGCCACCAAAGCGGGGGCUGAAAGCGAAGAGAACUUAGAUUUGACCUGUGCAAGGACCUCAGAGGAGCUUGGACACAGCCCACUGCAGAGAUGAAAGGAGAAGCUGGACAUAUGCUACACAAUGAAAAGUCAAAGCAGGAGGGACACAUCUGGGGCUCUAUGAGGAGGACAGCUUUCAUCCUGGGUUCUGGACUUCUCUCAUUUGUGGCCUUCUGGAACUCAGUGACAUGGCAUCUUCAGAGAUUUUGGGGUGCUUCUGGCUACUUUUGGCAAGCCCAGUGGGAGAGGCUGCUGACUACAUUUGAAGGGAAGGAGUGGAUCCUCUUCUUUAUAGGUGCCAUCCAAGUGCCUUGUCUCUUCUUCUGGAGCUUCAAUGGGCUUCUAUUGGUGGUUGACAUAACAGGAAAACCUAACUUCAUCUCUCGCUACCGAAUUCAGGUCGGCAAGAAUGAACCUGUGGAUCCUGUGAAACUGCGCCAGUCUAUCCGCACAGUUCUUUUCAACCAGUGCAUGAUAUCUUUCCCCAUGGUGGUCUUCCUCUAUCCCUUCCUCAAAUGGUGGAGAGACCCCUGCCGCCGUGAGCUACCCACCUUCCACUGGUUCCUCCUGGAGCUGGCCAUCUUCACGCUGAUCGAGGAAGUCUUGUUCUACUAUUCACACCGGUGAGCAGGCCCUGCCUGAGGCACAGCUGGCUCCUCAUCCUGUCUAGGGCUCACUGAUCAACAAGGAAACUGAGGCCAGGCUCCUUCACCACCCAACAUUCUACAAGAAAAUCCACAAGAAACACCAUGAGUGGACAGCUCCCAUUGGCGUGAUCUCUCUCUAUGCCCACCCUAUAGAGCAUGCGGUCUCCAACAUGCUACCGGCGAUAGUGGGCCCAUUAGUAAUGGGCUCCCACUUGUCCUCCAUCACCAUGUGGUUUUCCUUGGCCCUCAUUAUCACCACCAUCUCCCACUGCGGCUACCACCUUCCCUUCCUGCCUUCGCCUGAAUUCCACGACUACCACCAUCUCAAGUAAGGACCCUCUCCCCACAAUGGGUCCCUAGGCAACAACCAUCACCCUCCCUCCUUAAGCUUCUGAUAGCAGACACUGGUAUCUCAGUUUACAUGUGAGUGCUAGUUGGGGAAGAGGUCUGAUGGUUGGGAAAAUAACCACACUGGGAUGACCUUACUCUUUUCCUUCUGAAAUUGGGUCCUCCUCCAACUGGGGAUUUUAAACCUUUAUUUGGGCUCUGGGCCCUUUGAAUAAGCUCUGGACAUUCUCUUUAGAAAAGUACAUAUAUGCAUAAAACUCCUGCAGGCAAUCACAAGGAAGUCAUAUACUCUCUGAAAGCCCCAGACUUUUUCAAGUGUAGUCUACAAACCUCCUAUACCAGAAUCACCUGAGAUGCUUGUUUAAAAUAUAGGCUCUUGGAUUCCACUCCAAAUAUGCUGAACUAAGGUAUCUGGGGGAGCAGGGCCUGGAAACCUGCAUUUUAGUUAAGUGUUCCAGGGGAUUCUGAUGCUGGUGCUCUCAUACCUGAAGAAGCCUAGUUCUGCUAGAGAUCCUCAGACUGUGGGCAUCAGAAUCACACAGCAAGCUUUUCAAAGGAAGACUCCAGAUACUGCAAAUUGCAGGUUUGGAGUGGCCCCCAGAAGGUGCAUUGGUAGCAACUCCCCAGCUUAUUCUGAUGCAGAUGGUCAGGAUGAUGGUGACAGGUGUGGGGUAGGAGGGCUGAGAAAUGUGUGAGGCUGGCACAAAUGAAAUAGGAUCUGCACAGAAGCCUCCAGCAUUGGCACUGCAGCGCCAUCCUCUCUCUUCUAGGUUCAACCAGUGCUAUGGGGUGCUGGGUGUGCUGGACCACCUCCAUGGGACUGACACCAUGUUCAAGCAGACCAAGGCCUACGAGAGACAUGUCCUCCUGCUGGGCUUCACCCCGCUCUCUGAGAGCAUCCCAGACUCCCCAAAGAGGAUGGAGUGAGAGAUGGCCUAAGUGUCAUCCUGGCUGUCCCUCAGCCAUGGGAUGCAGACACGGCUUCCUGAUUGCACCUAACAAUUUGCCUCCUUCGGCCACACUCCCUAAUGAUGGCGCCACCAGGGUAGAGGAAAGGUCGGCUUCCCGGAAAAGCAGGGCCAAGGAUGAGGCUUUCUCCAAACUACUGCCCUUGGUAUCCCUCAACGGGAUCAGGAGUUAGCUUAAGAAAAAGGAAAACACAGCUCCCCAGACUGGAGGCUGGUCAGAGGGAGGAGACCCCUGGUCCUCUGCUGUGGAAGGAGAGGGGUUCAGCCCUAGAUAACUCCUUUGUGGCCUGAGCAGGAUGCAGAGAAUGACAAGGCUGAAAGGAGGGGGACUGGAGGCUGCCUGGCUCCAGCGACAGCUCCUUCUGGGACCAGGGGGUGGGAGGGCCAGGUAUCACUUUGCCCCUUCCUGCCCCAAAAGGCUUUCACAUACCUUACUCAGGCCAGAGCCAAGACACCCUGGCAAAUCGUUAUAAGUCUCAAUUCACGACAUACCAGAUGCCAGUCGCCACUUCACCCAACACACACACAAACAUACACACACCAAACACUCUGAGUGAGUGGUAAAGGCCCCAUUUUAACUCUGGCCCACCGCAAACAAAAGGUUUCCCUCUAUGGGGGAGAAAAAAAAAAAAAUCCAGGAGCUCCUCCCUGGAUUAAAACCAACGAGGUGCAGACCAAACUUUAACUUUAGCGUUAUGUGGAAACCAAAAACCAACUGCUGAGAAACUGUGAAAAGCCCUUUUACCCACAAGGGGAGAGGUCAAAGUUGCUGCUCUUUGGGGACACCCGAGACCCCUAAUUACCCUAUCUGAAUGAGGACCAAAGGUUAGAACCCUCUUUCUCCCUGAAGAGCCCGGAAAAACAUGGCCGAGCAAAGGGCAAAAUCCUUUCUCCCCCGAAUGCUUUACCAGUUUCUCAGCAACAUUUAUUCAAAAUGAUUUUUACCAGGAACCUUAUCAAAGGCAAAACCACAGCUGCUUGGGUUAAAGUCCCCAUCCUGGCCUCCUCUCAGCCGCUAGACAUGGCCAGGAACCCUGUGGUUCCCAAGAACAAUUUAAAGAUCACUCUUCGAUUUGAAAGACCACCAUUAUCAUUUUACUAAAUUCUUAUAUAUACUUGUGCCUUUUCCAACUUUCAGUUCUCUUAAGAAAAACAUCCACUGUAGCUUUAUAAAAUACCUUAGUAUCAGAUAGGUCCAAGUCUCCAGGCAGGACUAUCAAAAUGGACUCCUUCUUCCUAUCAGCUCUAGAACCCCAGAGGACUUGCCCAAUAGGCCAGCUGAGCACUUACCAGGCAGCAUCUCCCUGGCCUUCCACAGUCUCGCCUGCCUGUCUCUGGCCUUGGUGGACCUGGCUCCCUCCCUAGGAGGCUUGUGCCCUCAGCUUGAAUACAGCUCCUGGUGCAUCAAAGCUGUAAGUUCUCAGCUGCUGGCCUGCACCCAUCACCUCUUCCUACAAAUAAACAUUUGGAAAAAAGUCCAUCUUCAGUAUGCUUAAAGAGAAGGGUAGGAGAUAAGGAGAAAGAACAGAUAUGGUUUUUUUCCCCUUUAAGGCCUUUAGAUUUUGAGGUACUGUAAGGGGCCUAGGACAAAAGGCUGUCAUUCCCUCUUCCUUUUGGCAGGCAGGUUAUCAGUUCCUGGCAGAAGGGCCCAGCCUAUCCUUUUCUGUAUCAAACAAAAUCCUUGAGGUUGGUAUACAAGUUAAGGCUGAAAAAAGGCCUUAAAUUCCCAGUAAAGAACGUGAAAGCAAGCAUGUAAAAUAAACUGGUCUUCAUG